AUAUUUAUCAAAUUAAAAAAAAUUGCACUAUUUACGUUUUCAUGAAAAUUGUCACACAUAAUCUUCUCGCGUAAUCAAACCAAAUGGCAUUUAAAAAAAAGAGGGUCCAUGAACUCGUUUUCAAGUUAAAUAAGUUUGAAUGAUAAAAAUCAGUCGAAAACUGAAUCUUUUCCCGAUAAGUCAUAGUUUGACGUCGCGAAAAUAACAAUUUACAUUAGCAACGUCAUUACCUCCC
RNAcentral lists this long non-coding RNA (235 nucleotides) under Mytilus galloprovincialis (Mediterranean mussel). The record is from RNAcentral. Lineage: Eukaryota; Metazoa; Mollusca; Bivalvia; Mytilida; Mytilidae.